RNAcentral lists this transfer-messenger RNA (386 nucleotides) under Cellvibrionaceae. RNAcentral's name for it is "GCA-2746115 sp002746115 Standard tmRNA". It matches the Rfam family "transfer-messenger RNA". Rfam says of the family: Bacterial tmRNA, also known as 10Sa RNA or SsrA, is named for its dual tRNA and mRNA-like properties. Its role is to liberate the mRNA from a stalled ribosome. Lineage: Bacteria; Pseudomonadati; Pseudomonadota; Gammaproteobacteria; Cellvibrionales. The record is from RNAcentral. RNAcentral also lists the same sequence under 2 other names.
GGGGGCGAUUAGGAUUCGACGCUGGUUACAAAACUCAAGGUGCAUGUCGUGAGGGUAGCUAAUCACGUUAAUCCAAAGCUGCAAACUUAUAGUUGCAAACGAUGCUAACUACGAAGGUGCUGCGCUAGCCGCAUAACCCUUCACUCUAGCGGCUUGUCCGCUAGCGGUUCAUAUCAAGGUGUCAGUACCGCGGUAUUAACUGUCAAACAGAACUGAAUCGCAGUGUCCAUUCUGAUCGCGGUGGCAUAGCUAAAUAACAGCGGACUCACCUCUUACGUCCUGCCCGUCGGGCUGUUCUGAGGCUAAAUUAAUUGACGGAAUCUAAACAUGUAGAGCCGCGAGCAGAGUGCUGACGGACGGGGGUUCAAAUCCCCCCGCCUCCACCA